This 400-nucleotide ribosomal RNA is filed under the name uncultured bacterium. RNAcentral's name for it is "bacterial SSU rRNA". It matches the Rfam family "Bacterial small subunit ribosomal RNA", at positions 356 to 773 of the family's 1533-position model. The record is from RNAcentral.
GGGGAAUAUUGGACAAUGGGCGAAAGCCUGAUCCAGCAACGCCGCGUGGAGGAUGAAGGUUUUCGGAUUGUAAACUCCUUUUCUAUUAGAAGAUUAUGACGGUAUAAUAGGAAUAAGCACCGGCUAACUCCGUGCCAGCAGCCGCGGUAAUACGGGGGGUGCAAGCGUUACUCGGAAUCACUGGGCGUAAAGGGUGUGUAGGCGGAAUAUUAAGUCUCGAGUGAAAUGCCAUAGCUCAACUAUGGAACUGCUUGGGAAACUGAUAAUCUAGAGUGUGGGAGAGGUAGAUGGAAUUCCCGGUGUAGGGGUAAAAUCCGUAGAGAUCGGGAGGAAUACCCAUUGCGAAGGCGAUUUACUGGAACACAACUGACGCUGAGGCACGAAAGCAUGGGGAGCAAAC